GUGGGUGGAUAUAGUGGCGAACGGGUGAGUAACACGUGAGUAACCUGCCCUUGACUCUGGGAUAAGCCUGGGAAACUGGGUCUAAUACCGGAUAUGACCUUCCAUCGCAUGGUGGUUGGUGGAAAGCUUUUGUGGUUUUGGAUGGACUCGCGGCCUAUCAGCUUGUUGGUGGGGUAAUGGCCUACCAAGGCGACGACGGGUAGCCGGCCUGAGAGGGUGACCGGCCACACUGGGACUGAGACACGGCCCAGACUCCUACGGGAGGCAGCAGUGGGGAAUAUUGCACAAUGGGCGGAAGCCUGAUGCAGCGACGCCGCGUGAGGGAUGACGGCCUUCGGGUUGUAAACCUCUUUCAGUAGGGAAGAAGCGAGAGUGACGGUACUGCAGAGAAGCGCCGGCUAACUACGUGCCAGCAGCCGCGGUAAUACGUAGGGCGCAAGCGUUAUCCGGGAAUUAUUGGGCGUAAAGAGCUCGUAGGCGGUUUGUCGCGUCUGCCGUGAAAGUCCGGGGCUCAACUCCGGAUCUGCGGUGGGUACGGGCAGACUAGAGUGAUGUAGGGGAGACUGGAAUUCCUGGUGUAGCGGUGAAAUGCGCAGAUAUCAGGAGGAACACCGAUGGCGAAGGCAGGUCUCUGGGCAUUAACUGACGCUGAGGAGCGAAAGCAUGGGGAGCGAACAGGAUUAGAUACCCUGGUAGUCCAUGCCGUAAACGUUGGGCACUAGGUGUGGGGGACAUUCCACGUUUUCCGCGCCGUAGCUAACGCAUUAAGUGCCCCGCCUGGGGAGUACGGCCGCAAGGCUAAAACUCAAAGGAAUUGACGGGGGCCCGCACAAGCGGCGGAGCAUGCGGAUUAAUUCGAUGCAACGCGAAGAACCUUACCAAGGCUUGACAUGAACCGGACCGGGCUGGAAACAGUCUUUCCCCUUGUGGGCUGGUUUACAGGUGGUGCAUGGUUGUCGUCAGCUCGUGUCGUGAGAUGUUGGGUUAAGUCCCGCAACGAGCGCAACCCUCGUUCUAUGUUGCCAGCACGUGAUGGUGGGGACUCAUAGGAGACUGCCGGGGUCAACUCGGAGGAAGGUGGGGACGACGUCAAAUCAUCAUGCCCCUUAUGUCUUGGGCUUCACGCAUGCUACAAUGGCCGGUACAAAGGGUUGCGAUACUGUGAGGUGGAGCUAAUCCCAAAAAGCCGGUCUCAGUUCGGAUUGGGGUCUGCAACUCGACCCCAUGAAGUCGGAGUCGCUAGUAAUCGCAGAUCAGCAACGCUGCGGUGAAUACGUUCCCGGGCCUUGUACACACCGCCCGUCAAGUCACGAAAGUUGGUAACAUUUCGAA
RNAcentral lists this ribosomal RNA (1332 nucleotides) under Arthrobacter sp. RNAcentral describes it as "bacterial SSU rRNA". It matches the Rfam family "Bacterial small subunit ribosomal RNA", at positions 82 to 1426 of the family's 1533-position model. The record is from RNAcentral. Lineage: Bacteria; Bacillati; Actinomycetota; Actinomycetes; Micrococcales; Micrococcaceae.